ACUUCUUACCAAGAACUCCUUAACUUGAGGGUGAACAACUUAAAGCUUGAUCCUACAGUUACCUGAAAAGUGAUUUGAGUAUUCAUUGAACUGAAAGAACAAAUCGCCUACUUCAGGCGGUGGCAAGCGUAUGGAAAUUAUAUUAGAACUUCAGCAAAGUGCACAGCUGCAUAAUAGAGAAGCCGGCACUCAGAUUGACAGGCAAAUAAGCCAGCUUGUGGAAGGGGCCUCUGGGUGGCAGCUCUGGGCUUUUGGGUGUUGGACAACCAUAGGCAAAACUGAAAUGGAACAGGGGCAGAAAAUAGCACACUUUUACUCUACGCAACUGUUGCUUUUUCAUGAUCUUCAGGAAUUUUACUGGGAUAAUUAUCCAAAUAAAUUGCAAGCAUUCUAUCCAAAUGGAGCUCUUUCUGAGAUGAAGAGAAUUCUCAAUGUCAAGAUUUGAACAAGAAGAGAAUGGAAUACACAAUAUGGACAUCCAUAAAAAUUCAUCAGAGAGCAUUUUACUACUGAGCUGCAAAGGGAAAAACUUAAAAUGGAUAUGAAAAGUGAAGAAAGUGAUCAUAGGAGAAAACCAUUUCAGAUGACAAGAGCACCUCAAAGGCAGCAGCCUCAAGGAGCAGCCAUGGCCCCAGACUUGUCGCACGGAUGCAGAAAACUUAAUGGAGGAGGCUGAGGUCAGAAUGGGAAGAGUUUUUAAAAAAUAAAAAGGGGAGCUAAUAUGUGAGGAACUGAUUGCUGUGCAUUAUUUUCCACUGAACAGACCUUCUUUUAACUUCUAAUCUCAAGCACAUAGCAGCUGUUGUUUUCAU
RNAcentral lists this long non-coding RNA (812 nucleotides) under Homo sapiens (human). RNAcentral's name for it is "non-protein coding MIR99AHG:64". The record is from RNAcentral. Lineage: Eukaryota; Metazoa; Chordata; Mammalia; Primates; Hominidae.